GGGGGCGAGGGGACGACUGGGGUCGAAGAGGCGCCCUCAGCGCUUGGGCUCAGCUAAGAUGGCGCGGGGAAGUGCCGAGAGCCGGGAGCCGCCGCCGCCACCGCCGCCUCGGGGGAACCGGCCCGGGCCUCGGCCGCCUCCCGUCCUCACACAGCCGAGGCCCUCUUGGUCCCCCGCCGCGGCCCCUCGGCGGGCGGGCCCACGCACAGCCCUCCGCCACCACCACCACCCCUGGGAAGGGGGCGCUCACAAAGAGAAGAGAGGCCGCGGGCCUCAAAGGUUCGCGGCUGCCUCGCACUCUCGGCCCGCGAAGGGCGCAGGCAAGCGGGACCCCUCCUCUUUCCUCAGGCAGGCGGCGGCACCGACUCACUCUCUUUGCCACCCUCCCUCUCUCUCUCCCCAAGCCCUGAAGCCACAGAACCCGGCCGCUGCCCAGGUUCCCCCCCCUUCCCCAACACCACUCCCCUCCUCCCGACAGUCAUCCCAGUCUUCGAUCUCGCGAGAUUUCUCGCCUGACAGGCCCGGCCCUGCGCGAGACAAGACUGCGUACGCGUGCGCGCCCUCACGGGAGCGCGCGAGUGCUUGCACUGGGCGGAGUCGUCCGUUUGGCCCGGAGUCCCAGCCCCUGUCCAGCCCGGCCUCAGUCAGCUGGCGGAGCUCUUAUGCCACGCGGACGUCAGGUGCAUUCAUCUCACCCUGAAAUCUGAGAAAGAGGAGUUUCUCUGCUCUCCUCCUUUUUCCCUCUUCCCACUCCCAAAACAUCCGCCCCCCAGUAACGCUGAGAAUGAGAAGUUUGCCCUGACGUGUAGAAUAUCUGAGUCUUACCCAUCUUAGUUCAACUCCUCUGUGGAAUUCGGACGUAAACUGGUCAGCGUAAUCAGUAUGUAAUUGGCUUUGGAGAUUCUAAUAGUUUGUAAUAAUCUUUGAAAUGGCAAUAAGAGUUGGAAAUGCAGACCUAAUCACCCUAUACGUUGGUGAUGAUGGGAAAGACAAAUUCUUGAAAAGUUUUUGUGGAUUUUUUUUAGUAGGUUGAGUGAAGUUUUUGAAACAAGAAUAGUAGACAAACUAAAGAGUCCUAAGGGUCCCAAUGCAGGGAAGAGGUAGAACUUCUCAUUUUUUUUGUGGCGGAAAACCUUUUUUUAAGGGAAAACCCUACGAAGAGUGCAAUUUUAUUCAAGAACCCAAAGAAAGGCUAUAUUAAAUUCCCGUACUCCCUAGCCACUUCUGGCUUCAAUGACUCCAGCUCUAUUGCCAAACCAUAGAGUGAGCCCUUACUGCUGAGGACAUACAUGAAUACAGAGGUUCUACCCAUUGCCACCACUGGACCCAACUGUCUGCUUUGGAAUUGGAUAACACACUGAGAAAGCUAUCUUUCCUCUCAGAUAGACUCUUUGAAGAUAGGAGGAGCUUAGGAUUGAGAAACUUUGGUUCCUUGGGAGGGAACAUGCCAGCUGUGAAAAGCCCAGAGUUGUAAAUUGUCAGAUGGUGACUGCCUGUGAAGCCUGUCAAGAUUCCUGACAGCUCAGCUGAGAACCUAAUUACCAGUUACAAAGAGAGACAGGAAAAACGUGUUGUCGGAGAGCUCCUGGUCAGAGAGAAUGAGAUACAGUGUCCUGGCCUCAUCAUCUGCCUCCUUCUUGAUUCAGCUAGAGGAAAACACAUUAGUAUAAUUGACAUUACAUAUGUUUAUUAUCUGGAACAAAGGAACCAUGUCAAACCACAG
Equus caballus (horse) is the source of this 1723-nucleotide long non-coding RNA. The record is from Ensembl. Lineage: Eukaryota; Metazoa; Chordata; Mammalia; Perissodactyla; Equidae.